UGGCGGACGGGUGAGUAAUGUCUGGGGAAACUGCCUGAUGGAGGGGGAUAACUACUGGAAACGGUAGCUAAUACCGCAUAACGUCGCAAGACCAAAGAGGGGGACCUUCGGGCCUCUUGCCAUCGGAUGUGCCCAGAUGGGAUUAGCUAGUAGGUGGGGUAACGGCUCACCUAGGCGACGAUCCCUAGCUGGUCUGAGAGGAUGACCAGCCACACUGGAACUGAGACACGGUCCAG
RNAcentral lists this ribosomal RNA (236 nucleotides) under uncultured bacterium. Its description in RNAcentral is "partial 16S ribosomal RNA". It matches the Rfam family "Bacterial small subunit ribosomal RNA", at positions 96 to 334 of the family's 1533-position model. RNAcentral also lists the same sequence under 1 other name. The record is from RNAcentral.